GUAACUCAGGAAAGGAGAUGGUAAAGAAAGCUUACCAGAGGAGGCAGCCCCUGAGGCACCUGAAAGGAGUCUCUAAAGUACUAACAUGACUCGUGUGUUUCCUCUUCAAACUGUGGGACUAGAUGUGCUCUAUGGUUCAUUCCUGCUCCAGGAGGAAAUAUAUAAAAGGCUUCAUAUCUGAGCUUUAAAAGACCCUCAGCAGAAGAUGAAGCUAAGCUGUACCUGGACUCCUGACUCACAGAAAC
Long non-coding RNA from Hipposideros armiger (great roundleaf bat), 245 nucleotides. RefSeq lists it as uncharacterized. The record is from RefSeq and is a predicted model, not a curated record. The transcript is spliced from 3 exons. NCBI's taxonomy places the organism in Eukaryota, Metazoa, Chordata, Mammalia, Chiroptera, Hipposideridae.